RNAcentral lists this ribosomal RNA (468 nucleotides) under uncultured bacterium. RNAcentral describes it as "partial 16S ribosomal RNA". It matches the Rfam family "Bacterial small subunit ribosomal RNA", at positions 28 to 507 of the family's 1533-position model. The record is from RNAcentral.
GACGAACGCUGGCGGCGUGCUUAACACAUGCAAGUCGAACGGAAAGGCCCUGCUUUUGUGGGGUGCUCGCGUGGCGAACGGGUGAGUAACACGUGAGUAACCUGCCCUUGACUUUGGGAUAACUUCAGGAAACUGGGGCUAAUACCGGAUAGGAGCUCCUGCUGCAUGGUGGGGGUUGGAAAGUUUCGGCGGUUGGGGAUGGACUCGCGGCUUAUCAGCUUGUUGGUGGGGUAGUGGCUUACCAAGGCUUUGACGGGUAGCCGGCCUGAGAGGGUGACCGGCCACAUUGGGACUGAGGUACGGCCCAGACUCCUACGUGAGGCAGCAGUGGGGAAUAUUGCACAAUGGGCGGAAGCCUGAUGCAGCAACGCCGCGUGCGGGAUGACGGCCUUCGGGUUGUAAACCGCUUUCGCCUGUGACGAAGCGUGAGUGACGGUAAUGGGUAAAGAAGCACCGGCUAACUACGUG